RNAcentral lists this ribosomal RNA (273 nucleotides) under uncultured bacterium. RNAcentral's name for it is "partial 16S ribosomal RNA". It matches the Rfam family "Bacterial small subunit ribosomal RNA", at positions 524 to 796 of the family's 1533-position model. The record is from RNAcentral.
UACGUAGUGUUCAAGCGUUAAUCGGAAGUACUGGGCGUAAAGCGUGCGCAGGCGGUUAUAUAAGACAGAUGUGAAAUCCCCGGGCUCAACCUGGGAACUGCAUUUGUGACUGUAUAGCUAGAGUACGGCAGAGGGGGAUGGAAUUCCGCGUGUAGCAGUGAAAGGCGUAGAUAUGCGGAGGAACACCGAUGGCGAAGGCAAUCCCCUGGGCCUGUACUGACGCGCAUGAACGAAAGCGUGGGGAGCAAACAGGAGUAGAUACCCCUUUAGUCC